UCCUCGAUAGCUCAAUGGUGGAGCAACCGGCUGUUAACCGGUAGGUUGUAGGUUCGAAUCCUACUCGGGGAGCCA
Molecule: transfer RNA, 75 nt
Filed under: Desulfitobacterium sp.
Lineage: Bacteria; Bacillati; Bacillota; Clostridia; Eubacteriales; Desulfitobacteriaceae
Also listed under: 2 other names
Description: tRNA-Asn
Rfam family: tRNA
About the family: Transfer RNA (tRNA) molecules are approximately 80 nucleotides in length. Their secondary structure includes four short double-helical elements and three loops (D, anti-codon, and T loops).
Source: RNAcentral